UACGCAGGGGGCUAGCGUUGCUCGGAAUCACUGGGCGUAAAGGGUGCGUAGGCGGGUCUUUAAGUCAGGGGUGAAAUCCUGGAGCUCAACUCCAGAACUGCCUUUGAUACUGAAGAUCUUGAGUUCGGGAGAGGUGAGUGGAACUGCGAGUGUAGAGGUGGAAUUCGUAGAUAUUCGCAAGAACACCAGUGGCGAAGGCGGCUCACUGGCCCGAUACUGACGCUGAGGCACGAAAGCGUGGGGAGCAAACAGG
Molecule: ribosomal RNA, 253 nt
Filed under: uncultured bacterium
Lineage: Bacteria
Description: partial 16S ribosomal RNA
Rfam family: Bacterial small subunit ribosomal RNA
Source: RNAcentral